UACAGAGGUCCCAAGCGUUGUUCGGAUUCAUUGGGCGUAAAGGGUGCGUAGGCGGCGCGGUAAGUCGGGUGUGAAAUCUCGGAGCUUAACUCCGAAACUGCAUUCGAUACUGCCGUGCUUGAGGACUGGAGAGGAGACUGGAAUUUACGGUGUAGCGGUGAAAUGCGUAGAUAUCUGGAGGAACACCGGUGGCGAAGGCGGCAUCCUGGACCGACAUUGACGCUGAGGAGCGAAAGCCAGGGGAGCAAACGGG
RNAcentral lists this ribosomal RNA (253 nucleotides) under uncultured bacterium. RNAcentral describes it as "partial 16S ribosomal RNA". It matches the Rfam family "Bacterial small subunit ribosomal RNA", at positions 524 to 776 of the family's 1533-position model. The record is from RNAcentral.